AAAUUGAAGAGUUUGAUCAUGGCUCAGAUUGAACGCUGGCGGCAGGCCUAACACAUGCAAGUCGAGCGGAAACGAGUUAUCUGAACCUUCGGGGAACGAUAACGGCGUCGAGCGGCGGACGGGUGAGUAAUGCCUAGGAAAUUGCCCUGAUGUGGGGGAUAACCAUUGGAAACGAUGGCUAAUACCGCAUGAUGCCUACGGGCCAAAGAGGGGGACCUUCGGGCCUCUCGCGUCAGGAUAUGCCUAGGUGGGAUUAGCUAGUUGGUGAGGUAAGGGCUCACCAAGGCGACGAUCCCUAGCUGGUCUGAGAGGAUGAUCAGCCACACUGGAACUGAGACACGGUCCAGACUCCUACGGGAGGCAGCAGUGGGGAAUAUUGCACAAUGGGCGCAAGCCUGAUGCAGCCAUGCCGCGUGUGUGAAGAAGGCCUUCGGGUUGUAAAGCACUUUCAGUCGUGAGGAAGGCGGCGUCGUUAAUAGCGGCGUUGUUUGACGUUAGCGACAGAAGAAGCACCGGCUAACUCCGUGCCAGCAGCCGCGGUAAUACGGAGGGUGCGAGCGUUAAUCGGAAUUACUGGGCGUAAAGCGCAUGCAGGUGGUUUGUUAAGUCAGAUGUGAAAGCCCGGGGCUCAACCUCGGAAUUGCAUUUGAAACUGGCAGACUAGAGUACUGUAGAGGGGGGUAGAAUUUCAGGUGUAGCGGUGAAAUGCGUAGAGAUCUGAAG
RNAcentral lists this ribosomal RNA (723 nucleotides) under Vibrio parahaemolyticus. RNAcentral's name for it is "bacterial SSU rRNA". It matches the Rfam family "Bacterial small subunit ribosomal RNA", at positions 1 to 703 of the family's 1533-position model. The record is from RNAcentral. Lineage: Bacteria; Pseudomonadati; Pseudomonadota; Gammaproteobacteria; Vibrionales; Vibrionaceae.